CCUACGGGUGGCAGCAGUCGAGAAUCAUUCACAAUGGGGGAAACCCUGAUGGUGCGACGCCGCGUGGGGGAAUGAAGGUCUUCGGAUUGUAAACCCCUGUCAUGUGGGAGCAAAUUAAAAAGAUAGUACCACAAGAGGAAGAGACGGCUAACUCUGUGCCAGCAGCCUCGGUAAUACAGAGGUCUCGAGCUUUGUUCGGAAUCACUGGGCGUAAAGCGUGCGUAGGCUGUUUCGUAAGUCGUGUGUGAAAGGCGCGGGCUCAACCCGCGAACGGCACAUGAUACUGCGAGACUAGAGUGAUGGAGGGGGAACUGGAAUUCUAGGUGUAGCAGUGAAAUGCGUAGAUAUCGAGAGGAACACUCGUGGCGAAGGCGGGUACCUGGACAAUAACUGACGCUGAGGCACGAAGGCCAGGGGAGCGAAAGGGAUUAGAUACCCUAGUAGUC
RNAcentral lists this ribosomal RNA (446 nucleotides) under uncultured bacterium. Its description in RNAcentral is "partial 16S ribosomal RNA". It matches the Rfam family "Bacterial small subunit ribosomal RNA", at positions 338 to 795 of the family's 1533-position model. The record is from RNAcentral.